ACGGCUCAGUAACACGUCGGUAACCUACCCUCGGGAGGGGGAUAACCCCGGGAAACUGGGGCUAAUUCCCCAUAGGCCUGAGGUACUGGAAGGUCCUCAGGCUGAAAGGGACUUAUGUCCGCCCGAGGAUGGGCCGGCGGCCGAUUAGGUAGUUGGUGGGGUAAUGGCCCACCAAGCCGAAGAUCGGUACGGGCUGUGAGAGCAGGAGCCCGGAGAUGGACACUGAGACACGGGUCCAGGCCCUACGGGGCGCAGCAGGCGCGAAACCUCCGCAAUGCGGGAAACCGCGACGGGGGGACCCCGAGUGCCGUGGCAACGCCACGGCUUUUCCGGAGUGUAAAAAGCUCCGGGAAUAAGGGCUGGGCAAGGCCGGUGGCAGCCGCCGCGGUAAUACCGGCGGCCCGAGUGGUGGCCGCUAUUAUUGGGCCUAAAGCGUCCGUAGCCGGGCCCGUAAGUCCCUGGCGAAAUCCCACGGCUCAACCGUGGGGCUUGCUGGGGAUACUGCGGGUCUUGGGACCGGGAGAGGCGGGGGGUACCCCUGGGGUAGGGGUGAAAUCCUAUAAUCCCAGGGGGACCGCCAGUGGCGAAGGCGCCCCGCUGGAACGGGUCCGACGGUGAGGGACGAAGGCCAGGGGAGCAAACCGGAUUAGAUACCCGGGUAGUCCUGGCUGUAAAGGAUGCGGGCUAGGUGUCGGGUGAGCCUCGAGCUCGCCCGGUGCCGUAGGGAAGCCGUUAAGCCCGCCGCCUGGGGAGUACGGCCGCAAGGCUGAAACUUAAAGGAAUUGGCGGGGGAG
This 794-nucleotide ribosomal RNA is filed under the name uncultured Thermococcus sp. RNAcentral describes it as "bacterial SSU rRNA". It matches the Rfam family "Archaeal small subunit ribosomal RNA", at positions 85 to 876 of the family's 1478-position model. Lineage: Archaea; Methanobacteriati; Methanobacteriota; Thermococci; Thermococcales; Thermococcaceae. The record is from RNAcentral.